This 403-nucleotide ribosomal RNA is filed under the name uncultured bacterium. Its description in RNAcentral is "partial 16S ribosomal RNA". It matches the Rfam family "Bacterial small subunit ribosomal RNA", at positions 29 to 526 of the family's 1533-position model. The record is from RNAcentral.
AUUGAACGCUGUCGGCAGGCCUAACACAUGCAAGUCGAGCGAGCGGCGGACGGGUGAGUAAUGUAUGGGGACUGCCCGCUAGAGGGGGAAAACUACUGGAAAAGGUAGCUAAUAACGCAUACUAAAGGAUAACCCAUAUGGGAUUAGCUAGUAGGUGGGGUAAUGGGGCACCUAGGCGACGAUCCCUAGCUGGUCUGAGAGGAUGAUCAGCCAAAUGGGGACGGUGACACGGACCAGCCUCCUACGGAGGCAGAAGGGGGGAAUAGUGCACAAUGGGCGCAAGCCUGAGGCAGCCAUGCCGCGUGUAUGAAGAAGGCCCUAGGGUUGUAGAGUACUUUCAUUCGUGAGGCGUUACCGACAGAAGAAGCACCGGCUAACUCCGUGCCAGCAGCCGCGGUAAUAC